GUCUACGGCCAUGCUACCCUGAACAAGCCCCAUCCCGUCUGAUCUCGGAAGCUAAGCAGGGUUGGGCCUGGUUAGUACUUGAAUGGGAGACCACCUAGGAAGACCAGGUGCCGUAGGCA
This 119-nucleotide ribosomal RNA is filed under the name Pteropus alecto (black flying fox). The record is from RNAcentral. Lineage: Eukaryota; Metazoa; Chordata; Mammalia; Chiroptera; Pteropodidae.